UGCGUUGUCUCCGAAUUUUAUCGCGAAAAUAAUCGCAUAAACAACGAUAUCUUAUCAAUUUACCGCUGUAAAAUCGUUUCUUUGUGCAUUUUCUUCGAGAAUCGAUGAACAAAAAUUCAUAAAUCGACGGAAAAAAGUUCCUGCUAAUCAUCCAAAGUGUCUAAAAAAACAUCUGAAAUGACAAAAAUACCAAAAUUGUUGAUUCAUUGUUUUGUUACGGCGAUUUUUUGUUGUGCCUUAUCCAGAACGGAGAUCGUAACAAGCGACAAAAGCUGCCUUAUCACAGAUCCCCAUUUAAAUUCAACUUUCGACUUCACAACACUCCAUUCCGAUUUGGGACACAUUUUCAAGCACGACAAUCUCACUUUCAAAAUCAACGUUUGCAACAACGACCUAAAUUGCAGCAAAUACGAAACUCCCGUUGCCGCAUGCGAAAUCCAACCCGAUUCUCACGAAGUCGUGUUAGGUUACAAAAGCACCUUAACAUGGGACGACGGUCGAAUUUCCUUCGAUUUCGAGGGCGAACAAUGCACGGCAACGGAAAAAUAUUCGCUGAAAACCGUUCUUUUGUGCAGCUAUCGAAUGCAACGCGAACCAAUUCGAGUGAUGCCAAAAACUCCAGAUUCGUGCAAAACCUUCGCUUAUUGGAUGACAGAAGCGGCAUGUCAUCCGCGAUACAACGACAGAAGUUUGUGCGUCAUGAAAGGGCGCGAUGGGAAGGAAAUUAAUUUGAACCAACUUUACGAGAUGAAUCACAAAGUAACUGCUGGCGAUGGAAUUUCUCACUUUUUAAUCAAUUUGUGUCAACCUGUGAUGUACGGAAUUAACUCGACAUGCCCGCGGGACUCGAGUAUUUGUUUUGUGGAUCAAAAAGAAUCAAAUCCAUUGAAAAAAUUCAAAAAUUUCGGAACUCUCAAAGGGAUGGCUUAUGAAGACGAUCAAUAUGUUGUUCAUUAUUCGACGCAGGAAAAAUGCCCAAAAGCUCCGGAAAAGUUUAUUCGAACAAAAAUCAUCUUGGAAUGCGAUCGCGAGGACGAAGAUUUGCAUGAACCGGUUUUUGUUAAGGAAACUUCCGACUGCGAAUUAAUUUUUUCCAUGUCAACAAAUCUCGUGUGUGGCGUCGAAAGAGCUUGUUUCGCUUAUAGCUCAAAAUCCAACACAAAAUUUGAUUUAACUUCUUUGGCAAAUCGAACUUUCCCCUUGACCCAUAAUGGAACUCAAAUUUCUUACGGAAUUUGUUCAACUCCCUUAGAUCCUUGUGAUGAAAAAGACGGAGUGUGUCAAGCUCCUUUGCUGAAUCCCCAUAAACGAGAAAAAGGCUUCGGAAAAUUUUCAACUCAACUUUUGCUGAAUGGCACAGAUGAUCAUGUCGCGUUCGUUGAAUACAAAGAUGGCGACGAAUGUCAAAACGGACAAAAAUGGCGGACAAUUAUUACUUUUCAUUGUGAUGAAACGGGCAAAGAAACUUCAAAAAUCAUCGAAACUGCAAAUUGUACGCUUGUUAUUUCGCAUCCGACGAAACUGAUGUGCUCCCAUAGUAUUUCCUGUACGGGUCAAACAGAAGACGGGCGAUUAAUUGACUUAACUCGCUUGAAAAAUCAUCGAGGCAACUUUUUAGCGAAAGUCGAUCCUUCGUUAAAAGACUUUAAAAAUUACAAAUUUUACCUGCACGUGUGUCGUCCUUUAUUUUUGGAGCCUGGAUUGAAUUGCCCCGGAGCAAGUGCUUGUCGAACUAUCACCGUUGACGGCAAAGAAGAACACGAAACGAGUUUGGGGUAUCCUGAUGUCAGUUUAACCAUGGUGAAUGAUCUGCCAGUGUUGAAAUAUCUCAAUGGAGGCAUUUGUGAAAAAGAUAAUUCCACGGAUUUGUCGACGGAAAUUCAGUUUAGUUGUGAUCCAACGCAAGGUUCUUCCGUGCCGCUGCUGACGGAAGUUCAUGAGGACUGUCAUUAUAUUUUUACGUGGAAAACGAAUAAAAUUUGUGAUGCAAAAGUUUGUUCGUAUUCGCAGGAAACGUGUUCGUUGGAAAAUGCGGAUCUGAAAAAAAGUUUGGAUUUGAGACAAGUUUUUGGAGGAGAGAGUUUGCCUGUGAAGCAUCGAAAUGGAUCGAUUAAUAUUAAUUUGUGUAAUAAGGGGAAUGAUGUAGAGGAGGUUCUUGCUCAGUAUAAAGAUGAUACGGUGAUUUUUAAGUUUAAGGCGAUGGAACAUAAGUGUAAUAAUUCGAAAACGGAAGAAAACUUAUCCGUCGUUCUUCAACUCCAAUGCGGCAAACAACGAAACCAAUCUUCUUUCGCGAACGCUGAGCAAUGUUAUCUUGAACUUCAUAUGACGACGCCUCUCGUUUGCCCGAUGCUCGGAGUGAAUUUAGACCCAAACAACGACGAAGAAACAUCAACAACGACAUCGAUGCCUCCAAAACACGAAGAAAUAAUUGGAAAACGAGGAAGUCACGUGACUUUAACAGUUUUUCUUGUUCUCACAAUUUGUUCGGGAAUCGGCAUUGGAUGGUUUUACGUGAUGAAAUCGCCCGAAAGACGUCAUCGAGUGCUCGGAUUGUUCCGACGAAACACAGGAUCUGUUCAUUAUUCAAGGGACUCCCUCUUUGAAUGCUAGAUCGCUUUUUGUUAUAAAUAGUUGAAUUUUGCACGAAAAUGUAUUAUUUUAAGAAUAUUUAAAAGAUCUGAUAAGGUAAAUGGCGACGCAGAUACAGAUCUCCUCACAGUUCGUACAAGCAGCAUCGACGAAAGCGACGAUGAUGAAUUGAUAAUUUAAACCAAAUAAAGACGCAACUUACUUAUUUUCUUACUUAAUUAACCUAAAAAACUGCUUAGAAGUAUAGAAAACUGUGAUCGCCAAAAAGAAGAAAAAAUAUCUAGUCUACUCAGGAAGCAGUUUAAAGAAAAGGCCUUUUUAAUAAAAUUACUUUUUAUAAUUAAAAGAUUGUUAAAAAC
This is an RNA transcript of Culicoides brevitarsis, 2951 nucleotides long. It is a transcript of the gene named cation-independent mannose-6-phosphate receptor, with no coding region annotated. The transcript is spliced from 6 exons. The record is from RefSeq and is a predicted model, not a curated record. Lineage: Eukaryota; Metazoa; Arthropoda; Insecta; Diptera; Ceratopogonidae.